GCGGUGCGCAUGCGCAGUGGCCCGCUGGAGGCAGAAGGAAGAUGGCGGCGUCCUGAGUUUUGUGAGUGAGUGGAGCGCAGUCUGCAGUGUGGGCUUCAGUUCGGCAUCAGCGACCGCUGGUAGACAGCAGUACCGGAGCACCGGAACACCGGAGACUCAACCGAGCCGCGACCGAGAGCGCGGAAACACAGGCCGUGUGUCAAGAUGAAUAUCCUCAAAGACAACAGAGAUCUGGCCUGUUUCUACACAACCAAACACUCCUGGAGGGGGAAGUACAAGCGUGUGUUCUCGGUGGGCACUCACGGCAUCACCACAUACAAUCCCACAACAUUAGAGGUUACAAACCAGUGGGCGUACGGGGACAUCUGCAGCAUCUCCCCGGUGGGCAAGGGUCAGGGCACAGAGUUCAGCCUCACCUUCAGGAAGGGCAGCGGGAAGAAAUCUGAGACACUGAAGUUCAGCACAGAGCACCGCACCGAGCUGCUGACCGAG
Non-coding RNA from Danio rerio (zebrafish), 492 nucleotides. The record is from RefSeq and is a predicted model, not a curated record. Lineage: Eukaryota; Metazoa; Chordata; Actinopteri; Cypriniformes; Danionidae.